AGUGAACGCUGGCGGCAGGCCUAAUACAUGCAAGUCGAACGGCAGCACGGCAGAGCUUGCUCUGUGGGUGGCGAGUGGCGGACGGGUGAGGAAUACAUGGGGAUCUGCCCAGUCGUGGGGGAUAACGUAGGGAAACUUACGCUAAUACCGCAUGCGCCCUUCGGGGGAAAGCCGGGGACCUUCGGGCCUGGCGCGAUUGGAUGAGCCCAUGUCGGAUUAGCUAGUUGGCGGGGUAAUGGCCCACCAAGGCGACGAUCCGUAGCUGGUCUGAGAGGAUGAUCAGCCACACUGGAACUGAGACACGGUCCAGACUCCUACGGGAGGCAGCAGUAGGGAAUAUUGGACAAUGGGCGCAAGCCUGAUCCGGCCAUGCCGCGUGAGUGAAGAAGGCCCUCGGGUUGUAAAGCUCUUUCGGCCGGGAAGAAAUCGCACGGGUUAAUACCCUGUGUGGAUGACGGUACCGGAAUAAGAAGCACCGGCUAACUACGUGCCAGCA
RNAcentral lists this ribosomal RNA (496 nucleotides) under uncultured bacterium. Its description in RNAcentral is "bacterial SSU rRNA". It matches the Rfam family "Bacterial small subunit ribosomal RNA", at positions 30 to 513 of the family's 1533-position model. The record is from RNAcentral.